GACGAACGCUGGCGGCGUGCUUAACACAUGCAAGUCGAACGGAAAGGCCCUGCUUUUGUGGGUUGCUCGAGUGGCGAACGGGUGAGUAACACGUGAGUAACCUGCCCUUGACUUUGUGAUAACUUCAGGAAACUGGGGCUCAUACCGGAUAGGAGCUCCUGCUGCAUGGUGGGGGUUGGAAAGUUUCGGCGGUUUGGGAUGGACUCGCGGCUUAUCAGCUUGUUGGUGGGGUAGUGGCUUACCAAGGCUUUGACGGGUAGCCGGCCUGGGAGGGUGACCGGCCACAUGGGGACUGAGAGACGGCGCAGACGCGUACGGGACGCAGCAGUCGGGAAUAUUGCACAAUGGGCGGAAGUCUGAGGCAGCAAUGUCGCGUGCGGGAUGACGGGCUUCGGGUUGUAAACCGAUGUCGCCGGUGACGAAGCGGGAGUGACGGUAAUGGGUAAAGAAGCACCGGCUAACUACGUG
Molecule: ribosomal RNA, 468 nt
Filed under: uncultured bacterium
Lineage: Bacteria
Description: partial 16S ribosomal RNA
Rfam family: Bacterial small subunit ribosomal RNA
Source: RNAcentral